GGCUGCUCCUAGUACGAGAGGACCGGAGUGGACGCAUCACUGGUGUUCGGGUUGUCAUGCCAAUGGCACUGCCCGGUAGCUAAAUGCGGAAGAGAUAAGUGCUGAAAGCAUCUAAGCACGAAACUUGCCCCGAGAUGAGUUCUCCCUGACUCCUUGAGAGUCCUGAAGGAACGUUGAAGACGACGACGUUGAUAGGCCGGGUGUGUAAGCGCAGCGAUGCGUUGAGCUAACCGGUACUAAUGAACCGUGAGGCUUAACCUUACAACGCCGAAG
This 273-nucleotide ribosomal RNA is filed under the name Escherichia coli. RNAcentral describes it as "partial 23S ribosomal RNA". It matches the Rfam family "Bacterial large subunit ribosomal RNA", at positions 2670 to 2925 of the family's 2925-position model. The record is from RNAcentral. Lineage: Bacteria; Pseudomonadati; Pseudomonadota; Gammaproteobacteria; Enterobacterales; Enterobacteriaceae. RNAcentral also lists the same sequence under 1 other name.